CACGUACUUCCUCCGUUUCAAAAUUCUUGUCUUAGAUUUAUCUAAAUAUGAAUGUAUCUUGUCAUGUUUUAAUAUUUAGAUACAUUCAUUUCUAAACAAAUCUAAGACAAGAAUUUUGGGAUGGAGGGAGUAGUAU
RNAcentral lists this microRNA precursor (136 nucleotides) under Hordeum vulgare. RNAcentral's name for it is "microRNA MIR1122". It matches the Rfam family "MIR1120/MIR1122 microRNA precursor family". Lineage: Eukaryota; Viridiplantae; Streptophyta; Magnoliopsida; Poales; Poaceae. The record is from RNAcentral.